CCUACGGGAGGCAGCAGUGGGGAAUAUUGCACAAUGGGCGCAAGCCUGAUGCAGCCAUGCCGCGUGUGUGAAGAAGGCCUUCGGGUUGUAAAGCACUUUCAGCGGGGAGGAAGGCGGUGAGGUUAAUAACCUCAUCGAUUGACGUUACCCGCAGAAGAGGCACCGGCUAACUCCGUGCCAGCAGCCGCGGUAAUACGGAGGGUGCAAGCGUUAAUCGGAAUUACUGGGCGUAAAGCGCACGCAGGCGGUCUGUCAAGUCGGAUGUGAAAUCCCCGGGCUCAACCUGGGAACUGCAUUCGAAACUGGCAGGCUAGAGUCUUGUAGAGGGGGGUAGAAUUCCAGGUGUAGCGGUGAAAUGCGUAGAGAUCUGGAGGAAUACCGGUGGCGAAGGCGGCCCCCUGGACAAAGACUGACGCUCAGGUGCGAAAGCGUGGGGAGCAAACAGGAUUAGAUACCCGGGUAGUC
RNAcentral lists this ribosomal RNA (465 nucleotides) under uncultured Klebsiella sp. RNAcentral describes it as "bacterial SSU rRNA". It matches the Rfam family "Bacterial small subunit ribosomal RNA", at positions 338 to 795 of the family's 1533-position model. The record is from RNAcentral. Lineage: Bacteria; Pseudomonadati; Pseudomonadota; Gammaproteobacteria; Enterobacterales; Enterobacteriaceae.